This 1104-nucleotide ribosomal RNA is filed under the name Triticum aestivum (bread wheat). RNAcentral describes it as "partial small subunit ribosomal RNA". The record is from RNAcentral. Lineage: Eukaryota; Viridiplantae; Streptophyta; Magnoliopsida; Poales; Poaceae.
AUGCCGACCUCCUCGCAUGUCGGCGGCGACGGCCUCCCCCCCGGAUCCGCAUCCUCCAUCAUAUCCAGGGUCGUGAGCGGCUACCACUUGCUGAAGAUCGUCGGCUACUCGGGCACCAAGGAGGUCCCCAAUGGCAAGUGGAUCGACUCUUGCCCGUUCCAGGUGGGAGGCCGCACAUGGCAUGUGGAGUACUAUCCCAAUGGGCAAGGGUCCGAGUACAUUGAUUACAUAGGCCUCUUUCUUGCCUGGGAUGAUACCGUCGACAAGGCCGAGACCCUGAAUGCAAAAUUCAAGUUCAGCUUACUCGAUCAACAUGGGAAGCCAGUGCCGUCUUAUACCAAGACCUCCAAGACCAUAGACUUUUCCGUGGAUAAAUGUGUGGGAUGUCCUAGAUUUAUGAAAAGGGUUGAAUUGGAGGAAUCAGAGCAUCUCAAGGACGAUUCCUUCACCAUCAAGCUCGAUGUCACUAUCAUGAGCGAGUGCCACACGCAGCAGACACCGUCCGUCCUGGUGCCACCGUCUGACAUGCACCUGCACUUUGGCGAUCUCCUAUCGAGCAAGGCCGGUGUGGAUGUCGAAUUCGUUGUCGGUGGGGAGACAUUCUCGGCGCACCGGUUGGUUCUCGCGGCACGGUCUCCGGUCUUCAGAGCAGAGCUCUUUGGACUGAUGAAGGAGGGAGCCACUACUGGGGCCAUACGCAUACAUGACAUUAAGGCAGAAGUGUUCAACGCUCUGCUUACUUUUAUCUACACGGAUGCACUGCCCGCUAUGGAUCAACAGGAGGAAUCUGCCAUGGCUCAGCAUUUGCUUGUUGCAGCAGACAGGUAUGCUUUGGAGAGGCUGAAGCUGAUUUGUGAAGAUAAGUUGUGCAAUUGUAUCGAUACGAGCUCCGUGGCGACUAUCUUGGCAUUGGCGGAGCAGCACCACUGCCAUGAGCUUAAGGUGGCAUGCUUGGUGUUCCUCAGCUCGCCGAACAAUCUGGAUGCAGCCAUCGAGUCUGAAGGUUUCGAGUUUUUAACCAAGAGCUGCCCCGGUGUUAUUAAGGAUCUCCUCAAGUCCAAGGUUGCUCCUAGUCUACUUGGGAAAAGAAAGUCUAGGGCAUGA